UACGGGGGGGGCAAGCGUUGUUCGGAAUUACUGGGCGUAAAGGGCUCGUAGGUGGCCAACUAAGUCAGACGUGAAAUCCCUCGGCUUAACCGGGGAACUGCGUCUGAUACUGGAUGGCUUGAGUGUGGGAGAGGGAUGCGGAAUUCCAGGUGUAGCGGUGAAAUGCGUAGAUAUCUGGAGGAACACCGGUGGCGAAGGCGGCAUCCUGGACCAACACUGACGCUGAGGAGCGAAAGCCAGGGGAGCAAACGGG
Molecule: ribosomal RNA, 253 nt
Filed under: uncultured bacterium
Lineage: Bacteria
Description: partial 16S ribosomal RNA
Rfam family: Bacterial small subunit ribosomal RNA
Source: RNAcentral